AAUGGGUCAGUUUAUGGGAGAAGUGAAUUAUAUAUUCACCGCUGCACAUAUAUUAACAUUGUAACAACAAUGCUAGAAUUAUUACUAUUGAUAGUAAAAUAUUGUCCAGUAUGAUUCCCAAAAAUGUUAAUUGAGAAAGUAAUUUUAAUAAAUGUAAUUUUCACUUCUCUUUUAUGCAGAAUCAGACAAUGUAACAGCUACAGCUGGUUCAAAAUACAUCAACUAUAACAGAUUGGUGAUAGGCCUGGUAUUGGGACUAGGAAUCCCACUACUCCUACUACUGCUUGCUUUAUUAGUUUUCUGUUGUUGCAUUAGGAGGAGAGUAAAAGCAGACAUCGCUUCAACAGCAAAUGGGUGUGUACAUCAAGGGAAAUCUUUACAGCCUGAUUAUCAUGUUAAAACUCCUGUUUAUAAUGUACAUCAUCUACCUUCAUAUAUAUAAGAUGCAGCAUGCAGAUACACCUGAAGAAACUUGAAUAUGUUCUAUGGAAAUAAAUAAUAAAGAUUAUAUAAUAAUGAAAAUAUUUAGGUGUUAUAUGUAACCUUUUCAUGUAUAUGUUUACAAUAUGGGACAGAGUACUUAUCAACUGAAACAUUUAGAUAAAUAAAGCAAUUACUUCCAACCUGUGUGUGUUAUGGACCUUCUGAAAAUAUUAAAUGAUUCUUGUGAACCUCCAUUCAAUCUGAGAUUAGUCUCAGUGGCCAUUACAACAUAGAAUUUCACAGAUGGCUUUUACCUGCAUCUUUGUUCAAGCUGCCUUUUCAAAUAUACAGGUACUAGAUGUCAUUCCUCUGGGAUCCUGUUUCCCUUUUCAUUUUUAGAUAAUCUGUUCUGCAGUAAAUUCAUAGAAUAUUUUGCAAAUAUUUCCAUUUGUUUACCAGCCUAAUUCUAUCAGAAAUAUAAUUUCCUUGAUUUGCAUUGUAUUUGUUAUCAAAUUAAGGUAAUGUUCUAUCGAGCCAAUCUAGUUUAAUUGUUUAAGUUUAUUAGUCAUCAAUAAUUCACAAAAGUUUAGGUUUAGCAGAACCUUUUAACUUACUGUGAAAGCAUUAAGUCAUGUGCAAUCCAAUACCUAUAUUAAAAAAAGCUUUUUCUAUCUGCCUCAAUGUUUGCAUGCCAUCUGACUCAUGUCAUCAUUCUUUCUCCAAGUUUACAGACAGAUUUUGUAACUUUCUAAUUCUAAUGUAACUUUCUAAUGUUUAUCUAUUAUUGUUUAAUUUUGUGAAAAUUCGAAGGUAUGUACAUUUCACAGCCUCCAUUUUAAUUAUCUCCAAUAUAAGUAACAAAGCGUUAUUUUAGACUUGAUUUUGUUUGUCUUUUCUUGUCCCAAUUGCUCCCGUUCUGAUGUUACGUGUGCUUUGACAUUGCACAAUCCUGGUAAAGCAUAAUAAACUGUUGAUGCACA
This is a long non-coding RNA of Amblyraja radiata (thorny skate), 1403 nucleotides long. RefSeq lists it as uncharacterized. NCBI's taxonomy places the organism in Eukaryota, Metazoa, Chordata, Chondrichthyes, Rajiformes, Rajidae. The record is from RefSeq and is a predicted model, not a curated record. The transcript is spliced from 2 exons.